Molecule: ribosomal RNA, 72 nt
Filed under: Peptococcus niger
Lineage: Bacteria; Bacillati; Bacillota; Clostridia; Eubacteriales; Peptococcaceae
Description: 16S rRNA. Bacterial SSU
Rfam family: Bacterial small subunit ribosomal RNA
Source: RNAcentral
GGGAUCGAUGAUUGGGGUGAAGUCGUAACAAGGUAGCCGUAUCGGAAGGUGCGGCUGGAUCACCUCCUUUCU